GCCUUGCCAGCCCGCUCAGAAACUCAAAGGAGUUGACGGGGGCCCGCACAAGCGGAGGAGCAUGUGGUUUAAUUCGAUGAUACGCGAGGAACCUUACCUGGGCUCGAACGUAAGAUGACUGUAGGUGAAAGCUUACAUCUCUUCGGAGCAUUUUACGAGGUGCUGCAUGGUUGUCGUCAGCUCGUGCCGUGAGGUGUCGGGUUAAGUCCCAUAACGAGCGCAACCCCUACCUUUAGUUGCCAUCAGGUUAAGCUGGGGACUCUAAAGGAACUGCCUACGCAAGUAGUGAGGAAGGCGGGGAUGACGUCAAAUCAGCACGGCCCUUACGUCCAGGGCUACACACGUGCUACAAUGGCCGAUACAGAGGGCAGCUACCUGGUGACAGGAUGCAAAUCUCCAAAGUCGGUCUCAGUUCGGAUCGGAGUCUGCAACCCGACUCCGUGAAGUUGGAUUCGCUAGUAAUCGCGCAUCAGCCAUGGCGCGGUGAAUACGUUCCCGGGCCUU
RNAcentral lists this ribosomal RNA (504 nucleotides) under uncultured Sphingobacteriales bacterium. RNAcentral's name for it is "bacterial SSU rRNA". It matches the Rfam family "Bacterial small subunit ribosomal RNA", at positions 903 to 1382 of the family's 1533-position model. The record is from RNAcentral. Lineage: Bacteria; Pseudomonadati; Bacteroidota; Sphingobacteriia; Sphingobacteriales.